GGAUGGAGGAUGGGGAAGGGGGUGUCAGUGAUGCUGUGGUGUAAAGGUGGAAGGGUUUAGGACAAGGUCGCCGGAGACAGUGGUUACUACGACCCUAUUUUUGGAUAUUCGAGACGUAGGAGGCAUGUUCGACGGAAACUGACCAUAGGACAGGAUAGGCGAAGUCAUGACGGUUGAGUGGUGUAAAUCUGGGGCAGUUUGGUUGCCGGGCGUCGCUGUGAGGUGAUUUCCGGCGGCGGCAGUAGGGUGGUAGGCUGGUGGUCAAAGGGCGGUCAUGGGGUGGUCAAUGAGUGUUGUUAGGUCGGAGAAGAACGGUACGAGGAGGGGAGUUUUUGGUCUUGUAUGUGUAUUAGAGACGUUUGGACAUAUGUAUACAAAAUGGGGGGGGGGGCUUCAGUGGCCGUUGGAUGAGAUGGGGAGGGACGGAUGUGAUAAGCCCUUCUAUUUGAAACGGUGUUGUUUGGUUCGUUGGGUGUGGACUGGACCGGGUCAAUGGUUAUUUGGGCUGGGUAAUGUUGUUUGAAAGGAAAGGGAGAAGCGAGUUGGGCCACUCAGGUCUGGCCCAAUUGUGGCUAGCCUGAGUGGCUGUAUAUAUGUAUACAUAUGUAUUUUGCCUUUUUCUUUUUUUAAAAAAAUAAUUACUAACUUUAUUAAAACAAA
This 660-nucleotide long non-coding RNA is filed under the name Nicotiana benthamiana. RNAcentral describes it as "long non-coding RNA (NBEN_LNC041823)". The record is from RNAcentral. Lineage: Eukaryota; Viridiplantae; Streptophyta; Magnoliopsida; Solanales; Solanaceae.